Molecule: transfer RNA, 67 nt
Organism: Operophtera brumata (winter moth)
Lineage: Eukaryota; Metazoa; Arthropoda; Insecta; Lepidoptera; Geometridae
Rfam family: tRNA
About the family: Transfer RNA (tRNA) molecules are approximately 80 nucleotides in length. Their secondary structure includes four short double-helical elements and three loops (D, anti-codon, and T loops).
Source: Rfam
CGUUCUAUGGCCGAACUGGUGAAGGCUUCGCCAGGCGAAGAUGCGGGUUCGAGUCCCGCUGGAACGG